UCAAUACAGCCGUGGAAAGGAAGAAAAUGGCAGUAACAGCAAUAGGAUAAAAAAUCCAAUUUUUCUUCCUUGUUUUCUCAGACUCGGCUUUCUCGGAGUAUCCGCUUCCCUCAAUAAUGAGUUCAAGCUCUCUUUCAAGCUCAUCGUGCUCUCUAAGUAGAGAAAGCAGCCGCAUUUCCAUGGCAUUUAGUUCGGCGGUAGCCGACUCGGUCUUGUAUGCAGCUUCCGCUAUCUGGGCCUUACUACGUGCCUCGGCUUCGCGAAGGGUAGAAGAAAGGGCCAGGCUGAAGACGUCGCGCUCGAUGCUAUCAGUGAUGUCACGGUCGGCGAGAUGUUCAAUCUGUUUCCGGAGCUCUGUCACUUCCUUCACGAGUUUUGAAUUGAGGGUUUUCAGGUCGUGGAUUUCUUUACUUAGGGAAGUUCCGGCGGCAGCUGCGGCAGAGGCUUUUUUCUUCUUACCCAUGAGGAGAGGAAUGUGUUAGGGUUUGAAGGUUUUCUUCUUCUUCUUCUUCUGUGAAGGCAAUAGAUUGUGUAAAGGGUUUUGGCAAUCUGUUGAGGAUGCCGUUUAUUUAUAGGCGGCUUUGGGGAGUGGAGCGAAGAUUUGAAUUAAUAUUCAGUUUUCUGAAUAAUCGGCUGUGGAUCGAUUAUUCCGUGACUGUUUAGGCUUCUCAAUGGAAGAAAUUUUUUUGAUUUGGCAUUCAUUUCUUCUAAUUUUCUGCAACGGCCUCCGGCAUCCUCUCCGCCAUCUUCGCCCAAGCAUUUCGGCUGGCUGAACAGAACGAGAUAAGGUACACGGACCUGAUAACUAUACUUGUUGGUGGUACUUUUAUGGGUUGAUUUCUAUGAAGCUUAAACAAAGUAUAUUGUUACUGAUAUUGGUAAGACCUUUUCAUUUUUGCACGUUCUCAUUCAUUUCUAUAUUUUGGAUGAUUUAGGAUUCGUUUGAGGUGGCUUUCUUAUUGCUUCUUAAAGCAACUUUUUGUACUAGAAAAUUACUUUAAAAAGUAGUAAGAAAGCCAUCCCAAACAAAACCUUAGUGGCAUCUAAAAUCAGCCACUACAACAAGAGUAGUUGGAAGGUGAUAACUUGUAUUCCAAAAUAGUAUUUAUAAUAAGUAUGUACAAAUAUUAAAAUUUAAAUUUCUGGAAGAUGAUUAUCACACACACAAGAUAUAAAAGAUGAGUAGAAAUAUUAGUAUUUCCUUCAUCCUAUUCAAACUAUGAAUUGAAUGAUGGAUGGCACAUACCUACAUAGCCCACACUCAUAGCUUCAUCAACCAUGUUCUUCUGCUCACAAACACUCAAUCCACUCAUAUAGAACACUCACCUAAAAGACUUUUGGCUUGCCCGAAGGGACUCGCCACUUGCUUGUGGUAUAUGCCUUUGUGGACUCGUCAGUCCAGUAUAUUUAUCUUGAAAACUCGUCUAGGGCACUCACUUUUGAGGACUUGGUUAGAGCAUUUGCCACCCAUCCAGGUACUUGCUAGAGACAUCCGGAGCCUCGUCAAAGAUAGACGGACAUGUGUGUGUCCGUGUGUACAUUUUGGGAUUCAAUGUUUGUAUUUACUUGUACUUGUUAAAUAAUGUAUUAUCUAUAUUUUUCUAUGUAUAGUUUUUCCUAUAGCUGUUUUAACUCUAUAAAUAAGAGAGUUAAGAUGCAUAUUUUGGA
Molecule: long non-coding RNA, 1668 nt
Organism: Dendrobium catenatum
Lineage: Eukaryota; Viridiplantae; Streptophyta; Magnoliopsida; Asparagales; Orchidaceae
Exons: 2
Source: RefSeq, a predicted model, not a curated record